UACGGGGGGGAGCAAGCGUUGUUCGGAUUUACUGGGCGUAAAGGGCGCGUAGGCGGCCUCCGCAAGUCGACUGUGAAAUCUCCGGGCUUAACCCGGAAAGGUCAGCCGAAACUGCGGGGCUAGAGUGCAGAAGGGGCAACUGGAAUUCUCGGUGUAGCGGUGAAAUGCGUAGAUAUCGAGAGGAACACCUGCGGCGAAGGCGGGUUGCUGGGCUGACACUGACGCUGAAGCGCGAAAGCUAGGGGAGCGAACGGG
Molecule: ribosomal RNA, 255 nt
Filed under: uncultured bacterium
Lineage: Bacteria
Description: partial 16S ribosomal RNA
Rfam family: Bacterial small subunit ribosomal RNA
Source: RNAcentral